RNAcentral lists this ribosomal RNA (1443 nucleotides) under uncultured organism. RNAcentral's name for it is "SSU rRNA". It matches the Rfam family "Bacterial small subunit ribosomal RNA". The record is from RNAcentral.
GCUACAGGCUUAACACAUGCAAGUCGAGGGGCAGCAUGGUCUUAGCUUGCUAAGGCCGAUGGCGACCGGCGCACGGGUGAGUAACACGUAUCCAACCUGCCGUCUACUCUUGGACAGCCUUCUGAAAGGAAGAUUAAUACAAGAUGGCAUCAUGAGUCCGCAUGUUCACAUGAUUAAAGGUAUUCCGGUAGACGAUGGGGAUGCGUUCCAUUAGAUAGUAGGCGGGGUAACGGCCCACCUAGUCUUCGAUGGAUAGGGGUUCUGAGAGGAAGGUCCCCCACAUUGGAACUGAGACACGGUCCAAACUCCUACGGGAGGCAGCAGUGAGGAAUAUUGGUCAAUGGGCGAGAGCCUGAACCAGCCAAGUAGCGUGAAGGAUGACUGCCCUAUGGGUUGUAAACUUCUUUUAUAAAGGAAUAAAGUCGGGUAUGCAUACCCGUUUGCAUGUACUUUAUGAAUAAGGAUCGGCUAACUCCGUGCCAGCAGCCGCGGUAAUACGGAGGAUCCGAGCGUUAUCCGGAUUUAUUGGGUUUAAAGGGAGCGUAGAUGGAUGUUUAAGUCAGUUGUGAAAGUUUGCAGCUCAACCGUAAAAUUGCAGUUGAUACUGGAUAUCUUGAGUGCAGUUGAGGCAGGCGGAAUUCGUGGUGUAGCGGUGAAAUGCUUAGAUAUCACGAAGAACUCCGAUUGCGAAGGCAGCCUGCUAAGCUGCAACUGACAUUGAGGCUCGAAAGUGUGGGUAUCAAACAGGAUUAGAUACCCUGGUAGUCCGCACGGUAAACGAUGAAUACUCGCUGUUUGCGAUAUACGGCAAGCGGCCAAGCGAAAGCGUUAAGUAUUCCACCUGGGGAGUACGCCGGCAACGGUGAAACUCAAAGGAAUUGACGGGGGCCCGCACAAGCGGAGGAACAUGUGGUUUAAUUCGAUGAUACGCGAGGAACCUUACCCGGGCUUAAAUUGCAGAUGAAUUACGGUGAAAGCCGUAAGCCGCAAGGCAUCUGUGAAGGUGCUGCAUGGUUGUCGUCAGCUCGUGCCGUGAGGUGUCGGCUUAAGUGCCAUAACGAGCGCAACCCUUGUUGUCAGUUACUAACAGGUUCCGCUGAGGACUCUGACAAGACUGCCAUCGUAAGAUGUGAGGAAGGUGGGGAUGACGUCAAAUCAGCACGGCCCUUACGUCCGGGGCUACACACGUGUUACAAUGGGGGGUACAGAGGGCCGCUACCACGCGAGUGGAUGCCAAUCCCAAAAACCUCUCUCAGUUCGGACUGGAGUCUGCAACCCGACUCCACGAAGCUGGAUUCGCUAGUAAUCGCGCAUCAGCCACGGCGCGGUGAAUACGUUCCCGGGCCUUGUACACACCGCCCGUCAAGCCAUGGGAGCCGGGGGUACCUGAAGUGCGUAACCGCGAGGAGCGCCCUAGGGUAAAACUGGUGACUGGGGCUAAGU